CUGACAGCCUUGGAGACUUAAGACCUCUAUUUAUCCUUAGAACAAGUCCAGGAAAAAAUAGCACUAACGCUGGUUUCCUCAUAUGAACUUGCUCAGGUGCCUCAACCCUCUUUUGCAAGGAUUAUGUGCAAGGGCAUGAUGAUAACUUUGUAUUCCAAGUCCUUUCAGUUCCUGGCAUUC
This 180-nucleotide small RNA is filed under the name Crocodylus porosus (Australian saltwater crocodile). RNAcentral describes it as "TUC338 (ENSCPRG00005016586.1)". Lineage: Eukaryota; Metazoa; Chordata; Crocodylia; Crocodylidae. The record is from RNAcentral.